UGGGGAAUAUUGGGCAAUGGGCGCAAGCCUGACCCAGCAACGCCGCGUGAAGGAAGAAGGCUUUCGGGUUGUAAACUUCUUUUAAGGGGGACGAACAAAUGACGGUACCCCUUGAAUAAGCCACGGCUAACUACGUGCCAGCAGCCGCGGUAAUACGUAGGUGGCAAGCGUUAUCCGGAUUUAUUGGGUGUAAAGGGCGUGUAGGCGGGAGCGCAAGUCAGAUGUGAAAACUCAGGGCUCAACCCUGAGCCUGCAUUUGAAACUGUGUUUCUUGAGUGCUGGAGAGGCAAUCGGAAUUCCGUGUGUAGCGGUGAAAUGCGUAGAUAUACGGAGGAACACCAGUGGCGAAGGCGGAUUGCUGGACAGUAACUGACGCUGAGGCGCGAAAGCGUGGGGAGCAAACAGG
This 406-nucleotide ribosomal RNA is filed under the name uncultured bacterium. RNAcentral's name for it is "bacterial SSU rRNA". It matches the Rfam family "Bacterial small subunit ribosomal RNA", at positions 355 to 776 of the family's 1533-position model. The record is from RNAcentral.